CCGAAUGGUAUCUUGCAUGGAGUAACUGCUUUGGUUGCAGCAUUGCUAGCAGUUGCUUUGGCACGAGCAAAAAAACUUCCUGAGAAAGGUGUGAAAGUUGUCGGAGCAUUAUCAGGAUGGACAACAACCCUCCUCUUUAUGUGGAUGCCGGUUUCGCAAAUGUGGACUAAUUAUCUGAAUCCUGAGAACAUUAAAGGCUUAUCAGCUCUCACAAUGCUUCUUGCCCUGAUUGGAAAUAGUCUUGUGCUUCCACGAGCGUUAUUCAUUCGAGACUUCAUGUGGUAAAGCUAUUACCUGCCCGAUCAAAACUUUCAUGUCUGUUUUCUGAUCAUUAUUUUGUUUCCAAUCAACUUGAAUGUCACAAUAGGUAGGAUGUUAAAAUUAUGAUGUGUUUAGGAUGGCUUUGAGAAGCACGGGCAAAUCUCCUUGAGAAGCUUCCAAACUACAUCCAUAUUUUGUUACAA
Molecule: non-coding RNA, 464 nt
Organism: Benincasa hispida (wax gourd)
Lineage: Eukaryota; Viridiplantae; Streptophyta; Magnoliopsida; Cucurbitales; Cucurbitaceae
Source: RefSeq, a predicted model, not a curated record